Molecule: long non-coding RNA, 390 nt
Filed under: Capsicum annuum
Lineage: Eukaryota; Viridiplantae; Streptophyta; Magnoliopsida; Solanales; Solanaceae
Description: long non-coding RNA (CANN_LNC011964)
Source: RNAcentral
GCCUCUUUAUAUAUUUCCAGCUCUCUCGCCAAAUGACUUGAGAGCCUUCUUAUCAGUAUCUACAUCUUAAGAGUACCAAAUUCUGAAAACCCCCAUCAUAUGGAUUUUUAAAAAGAAUAGUAGUGAAGGAUCAACUAUCGAUAUAAGGUACUACGACAUGAUGUCUUGUAACAGCUGCUACCUCCUCUACAUUGUUUUUAAAUUCUUUCGCGGGAAUUAAAACAUAAAUGAACCAUAUAACUCAUAGAGACAAGCAUGAAGCUCUGAUGCCCUCCGUCAUAAAAGUUUCAAAAUGAGAACCUUGUAAAUAAAACAUGAAAUAGUAAUAGCUAAAUGAACAGGCAAUUGACUUUGGGAAAAUUACCUUCUGUAAUUUCAGAUACAUCAAUU